This 3684-nucleotide long non-coding RNA is filed under the name Marmota monax (woodchuck). Lineage: Eukaryota; Metazoa; Chordata; Mammalia; Rodentia; Sciuridae. The record is from RNAcentral.
AUUAACUGUUACUAAGUAGAAAAAGCUAGUUUGAAAAGGCUAGAUUUUAUAUGAUGCCAACUAUAUAAUAUUUGUGAUAGGUAAAAUUAGAGACAGUAAAAUAUCAGUUUGAGGGCAGGGGAAGAAAGACGGAUGAAUAAGUACAGGGCAUUUUUAGAGCAAUUAAACCAUUCUAUGCGGACCUUGAACUAAAGUAUACUGGCUUCCAAGGAGACCCAGGGUGAGCUCUGGCAGUUUCCACAGUGAGACCUGCUUUUUGGUAUGUGUUGUCAUAUUUGAUCAUCUGUGAUUCGAUUCUUGUAUUUUGUUAUAUUUGUUAAUGAAUUUAAUAAGAAUGCAUUCAAUUUGGGUGACCACAACAUCCCUGUUCUUAUUACUGAUGACUUGAUUUGUACUCUAAAAAAGCAGUAGGAUUUUCAUUAUUUUCCAUUUAUAAUCUAAUGCUAUAAUCUCCUAAUUAUUCUCUAUACUCCGUCAUAAUCUCACACAAAUAAUUCUUUCUAGAAUCCUUGGAAAACAAACUCUUUCCUUAAUUUCUUUAUUAAUGGAGUGGUGACUAGAAUAUUUCUUUCCUCAGUUUGCAACCUGAAAUGACUGUUCAUAAUUCUCAAAAGAAAACAACAAAAAACAUCAUUUGCAUUCUUCAGCAGUUUCAACAGGGAGAGAACUAAAGCUACUGAAGGAAGGAAACACAAGAGUCCUUUGUGCUAUUUUGCAACUUCUUGCAAGUCUAAAAUUAUUUUAUGAUAAAUGUUAAAAAAAAGGAUAGGAUCUAUUUAAAUAAAUAAAUAAACCUGUUUGGAGCUGCAAUGUUUUUUGAUUUUUGAUAAGUGAUGUUUGUCUGUUAGGUCAUCAAUUUAAAUAGGAUUUAGUAUACAUAAUAUUAUUCCUUAUCAAAAUGCUAUUGUGUGUUUUGUUAAAGUAUAAAAAGCUUUGUGUGUGUGUGUGUGUGUGUGUGUGUACGGGUCUGUGUGUAUGAGGUGUGUGUAAAAUUAGUAUGAUGUCUUGAUUACAAUAUAAUCUGGCAUUUUAAUUGUUAAAUACUAUAAGUUGAGUUCAUGUUUUUUCUUUAAUUUCUUCUUACUUUUUUCAAAGAAAAUUUCUAUCUCUAAGCGAAUAAUUCCUUAUUUAUAUAUAUUUUUUUAAAAAAUUAUUUGUAAGGAAAUUGAAGUUCUCCCACAAGCUUUGCCAAAGAUAUUCAAAAUGUAUUUUGAGGGCAACAUUAUUAAUGAAAAAUAGUGAGAAAUAUCAAAAUCCUUUAAUCUGUUAAUAUUUCAAAAACAUUACAAAUAUUUUGCUCAUGUAUAGACCACAAGACAGCAUGGCUGGUUGAAUAUUCUGAAUCAAAAACACUCUAGUAGCUUGAUUCAAGGGAUAGUGCAGUAUUGAUUUGACUGGCUGUAGCAUUUUGCUUUCACAUGAAAAGUAGUCCCUGAGUCUCAUUUUAUUUCUUAUACUCACAAAGGAAAAUUCAGCUUUUAACUAGCAAAUGUCAGCAACAUUUAAUAACCACGAUGUUUCAUACUCAAAAGCAGCUUAUGAAAUUCCCUCAGAAUAAUGCUAUCAACAGUUAUUGAUACAAUGGUUGGCCUUAUAAUAAAAGUGAAGAUUUCAGUGAACAUUGAUAGCUUUUGAACAUUGAAUUUAGUUGUUUUAAAACUAUCAAUACAUCAUUAACCUUGGGAAGGAUAUUUGUGCUGUUCUGUUUUAUUUUGACAGUCAGUGACCUGGGGUUUACUUGAAUAUGAUAAAGAGUAAGAAAGAUUCUAUAUUUCAUAGCUUCUUUUGUGCUAUAAUAUAGUUACUCAGAAAUUUGUACAUUCCUAAUACACAUAGAAGAUUUCACAAUUGUAAAUCAUCCUAAAUAUACUUAACUUUCAGUUAGGAUUCUAAUAUUGCUUGUUAAGGACUCAGUAUUUGAAAUUUUAAAUCUUUUUUUUUUUUUUUUCAGCCUUUUCUGUGCUGUGACCAAAAACCUGACAAGAACAAUUUUUGAGGAGCUAAGUUAAUGUGUGGCUCACAGUUUCAGAGGUCUCAGUCCAUAGAUGGCCAACUUCAUUGCUUUGGGUCUUGGUGAGGCUGAGAAUCAAAGCAGAAGAGUGUGGUGGAGGAAAGCAUCUCACCUCACAGCAGCUGGGAUUCAGAGAGACACCAAAUAAAGGGCUUGAGAUAAAUAUAGACCCCAGGGAUAAACGUCAGAGGACUUACUCUCUUUAAUUAGGUUGCAACUCUACAUUUUUCACCACCUCUCAAUAGUUCAUUCAAAUUAUGAAUCUAUUAAUGGAUUAAUCCACUGAAGAGAAUAGAGCCCUCAUGAUACAACAAUUUCCUAAAAGUGCUGCCUCUGAAACUUCCUGCAUUGGGGACCAAGCCUUUAACACAUGAGCCUUGGAGGAAUAUUUCAAUUACAAAGGAUAACAGAUAGCAAGUUGGUGCUGCUUGCUGGACACUAGGUAAUAAUGUCUGGAGAGCAGAAUUUUUCUUUAUAUCCUUUUUAACUUUAUAAAGUAGGCUUCCUUUAGAUAAUUGCCUCUCGUAAAGUUAUAUGUUCAUAUGCUAGCCCCUUUUAACCUUUAAUCCAAUUCAUUUAUAAGUUUAAAAUGGUUAGCCUUUGCUUCUUGGGGCAGGGAGAACUCCAAAUUGAAUGAUUUCUUUGAGAUGAGUAUGAGGAGUCCUGCAGGAAUGGCAACUGGCAGAAAUCAAUACAUGUCAAAAGAUCUCAGUGUCCUCAUCCUGGAAAAUUUAGUAAGAGUCUGAUAAUACCUGUGAUGCUGAGGAUGUACAGAAGGGAAAUCCCUGCAGGUUGGCAGGAAUGUAUUUCUAAAACAAAACAAAACAAAAACAACAACAAAAAAAAAACCACUUUAAUUUCAGUUGGUAAUAUCUUACAAAAUUAAAGAUGCCUAUUACCAUAAUACUCCUACUAUUCAGUGGUUCUACCCUAAUUAUAUAUCUGGAGAAACCUUCACACUACACAUGUGAAGAACAUCAUAGUUUACUUCAGUCUUGUUUAUCAUCAUCAAAAUUUAAAACAAUCCAAGUGUCCAGUGAUAGUAAUGAAACAGAGCUGCACAUAGCAGCAAUGAACUUGCAAGCAUAACCUUGAGAUUAUCAGCAGGUGAUGCACAUGAAUACAGAAGAUAUAAAAUAAUUUAUAUACUACUUUAAAUAUAUAACUUAUCACCAUAUAUUUUAAGUUUCUUGUGAUGUGAAGAGUAAGAAAUAAAUAUAUGUAAACCAUAAAAUAUAUAGUUAUUAAAAAUUCAGAUAUCUAAAUUAUUGUAUCUAAGAUCCCUCACUCUCUGUUUUGCGCCUUUCUUCUGUAUCUCUCUUCUGUGUUCAUCUACCUAUUAUGAAAAAUGAAGUGCUAAUAAUCAUAGACUUUAGAGAAAUACAAACUUGAAUUUCAUACCAACUCAAUAAUGUCAUAAGUGUAUAAUAUUGGGCUAAUUACCUGACCUUGGUAGAUCUGAAUUCUUCAUCUGUUUUGUUAACAGUACUGUAAAGUUAAGAGAAGAAAAUGAAUACACCCCUGCUAAUGUAGUAUCCACCUAAGAAAGGAUACUUCUAUUUUAUAUAUUUUUAUUUCUAUUUCACAAAAUCGAUGUUGAUGUUGUAUUAAAAAUAUAAUUGGGAAAAUUAUAGAAAUUUUACAUUUUGACAAUUAAUUGGGAUAUUAAUUUA